This 432-nucleotide ribosomal RNA is filed under the name uncultured bacterium. Its description in RNAcentral is "partial 16S ribosomal RNA". It matches the Rfam family "Bacterial small subunit ribosomal RNA", at positions 29 to 507 of the family's 1533-position model. The record is from RNAcentral.
AGCGAACGCUGGCGGCAGGCCUAACACAUGCAAGUCGAACGAACUCUUCGGAGUUAGUGGCGGACGGGUGAGUAACACGUGGGAACGUGCCUUUUGGUUCGGAAUCACUCAGGGAAACUUGUGCUAAUACCGAAUGUGCCCUUCGGGGGAAAGAUUUAUCGCCAUUAGAGCGGCCCGCGUCUGAUUAGCUAGUUGGUGAGGUAACGGCUCACCAAGGCGACGAUCAGUAGCUGGUCUGGGAGGAUGACCAUCCACACUGGGACUGGGCCACGGCCCAGACGCGAAGGAGGAGCAGGGGAGGGUGAACUAUGGGAUGGGGCGAAAUCCAGACACGCCCAGGCCGGGAGAAAGAAAAGGGUGUUGGAUUUUGAAAUUUCUUGCCCCGGGGAGUGAAAGAGGGGAACCGGGAAAGAAAGCCCGGCUAAACCCGUG